UCUCAAAUCAGGUAGGACUACCCGCUGAACUUAAGCAUAUCAAUAAGCGGAGGAAAAGAAACUAACAAGGAUUCCCCUAGUAACGGCGAGUGAAGCGGGAAGAGCUCAAAUUUAAAAUCUGGCGGUGCAUUCCGUCCGAGUUGUAGUCUAGAGAAGCGUCAUCCGCGCCGGACCAUGUACAAGUCUCUUGGAACAGAGCGUCGUAGAGGGUGAGAAUCCCGUCCUUGACAUGGACUCCCGGUGCUUUGCGUUGCGCUCUCGACGAGUCGAGUUGUUUGGGAAUGCAGCUCAAAACGGGUGGUAAAUUCCAUCUAAAGCUAAAUAUUGGCGAGAGACCGAUAGCGAACAAGUACCGUGAGGGAAAGAUGAAAAGCACUUUGGAGAGAGAGUUAAACAGUACGUGAAAUUGUUGAAAUGGAAACGCUUGAAGUCAGUCGCGUUCUCUGGGAUUCAGCCUCGCUUCUGCUUGGUGCAUUUCCUAGUCUACGGGCCAGCGUGGAUUUCGACCGACGGAAAAAGGCUUGGGGAAUGUGGCACCUCCGGGUGUGUUAUAGCCCCUCGUCGCACGCGUCGGUSGGAAUGCGGAGACCUGCGAUGCACGCUUUGUUGUGC
RNAcentral lists this ribosomal RNA (612 nucleotides) under uncultured Basidiomycota. RNAcentral describes it as "LSU rRNA". It matches the Rfam family "Eukaryotic large subunit ribosomal RNA", at positions 1 to 622 of the family's 3401-position model. The record is from RNAcentral. Lineage: Eukaryota; Fungi; Basidiomycota.